AUUAAAAGUUUGUUGUGUUUUAUUAUUUACUUGUAUGUGAUUGACAAAGGGCAAUCGACGCUUUUGGGGGAGGAGGGUUUGGUAGCAGUUUCUUUCCUUGUGUGUGUAGGGCUUCUCUGCCCGUUUGGGCGGCGAUUGCCUUCUGCCGGUGUUGGGUUCGGUUACCCACGGUGACUCUUGUCGGUCGGUGUGGUUUUUUGGUUUUUGCUGGGUCGUGUACUGUUGAGAGUGAGUUGUUUGGUUGAUCCAUGUUUGUGAUGGUGUUGCAUGUGAAGAGCUUAUCGCUCGUAUGUAUUUGAUGUCGUUGUUUUCUAUCGGAUUUUUGGAAUGAUGGAUGGAAUAGUCACCGGAGUGCUAGUUGGUCUCAGAACGGUCCCUCCAUAGCUAUGCGAUAAUGAAACUACCAUAGCACCAUUUUCUUCUUCCGGUAGCUUUCAUCGAUGCUCCUGUGAGUUUGUGCGUUCCACUUUAGUGUUCCUUGUACCGAUGAUGUUGGCGAUGGCGAAUCGGUGUUCGUCUUCUAGGUUCUUCUUGAGUGGGCUGGACUUCUUACAGGAUUAGAUGUUGAGUUUUUGGAUUGGGCCUUAUACUUUGUCUUUGGGCCGAAGUGGGCCUUCUUGUGUAAUCUACUCGCUUGGGCUUUAAAUGCAUCUUAUGCAUGGUAAAAAUAAAUAAAUAAAUAAAUAUUUGAUGUCUA
Long non-coding RNA from Manihot esculenta (cassava), 697 nucleotides. RefSeq lists it as uncharacterized. The record is from RefSeq and is a predicted model, not a curated record. The transcript has 2 exons. Lineage: Eukaryota; Viridiplantae; Streptophyta; Magnoliopsida; Malpighiales; Euphorbiaceae.